RNAcentral lists this long non-coding RNA (1850 nucleotides) under Phasianus colchicus (ring-necked pheasant). RNAcentral describes it as "lncRNA (ENSPCLG00000008819.1)". Lineage: Eukaryota; Metazoa; Chordata; Aves; Galliformes; Phasianidae. The record is from RNAcentral.
UCAUUAAUAAAAUGAACUAAAUACAUUUAUGUAUACUUUUUUCCUUUUUCCUUAAUGCUGCAUAAAAGAAUAUGCCACCACUUCAUGAAGCCUUUUAAAUAUCAGUGAGUUGGAAACUAUUGUUGCUUGCUUUAUUGGUUAUUUGCGAACUGUUGACUAGAGGAAUGGAAUGGAAAAUCAGCCUUUGCAUAUAGCACCAUCUCUGUUGCAAAUACAAAAGUUCCAAAGAAGAGGUUUGGCAGAGUAGAAGGUGGAGGUUGACUUUGAAUCUCUUCCUUUUGUAAUGAUUAAGUACAAAUUGAAAGAUAGGUCUCCAAGUAUUUCUGAUAAAAGGAACCAAGAAUCUACGUGUAUUCAAGCAGUUGUAUUUGUGCAUGCGACAGACAAAACUUUGCUGUAGUGCUCAAGUGGAACGUUCCUGAAAGUGCUGGUGAAGACAAGCAGCAUUUUUACUAUUGAUAAAAACGCUGAGAAAUGCAUCAGAUGUACAAUGACAGGGAGAGCUCAGCCAUCUUGUCAGCUGUAUACUGGAAAUACUACAUGUUUUGUCAUCGUGAAUAACACUGCUUCAACAAUACAAUUGUUUUUGCAGGGUCACUGUGCUGUGAAUUUGGGUCAAGGACCUGAGUGGGUAAGGAGGCCUCGUUUAUCUUCAGCCAAGGUUGAGACAAUAGUCAUCAGUCCACUUGACUCCAGCUGUGAAGUGAACAACUUACUUUGUUUUAGUAAUGAUUUGAGAGGCUCAUCUAUAACAUCACCAAUACUGUUCAGUGCGGCAAUCUGUCCACGUCUCCAUGAAACUACCAGGAGAAAAGAGAAAGGAGACCAAAGCUACCAGUGCCCCAGAUGAAGAGCUUGCUGCUGCUGAGUUGCUAUUGUACGCUAUAUUUGCCUGUUCUGCAGGUGUCAGUAUUUUAGGGUAUGCUAAUUUCAUUUUUAAUUUAUGUUAAUUUUGCAUUUAUAGCUUUUUUAUAUCUGGCCCUGUUUGCCACAUUCUAAAAACUUCACUAAAAAAAUCUUACAUUUGCAGUAUGAUUUUUGCUUUCCUGAGCUAAUGCAUGCAGAAAAGAAGCAAAAAGCACUUUACAGAUGUUAAUGAGAAGCUGUACAACACCUCAAAGCACAGAGAGAGAGAGUACUAAUAUUCUUAUUUUACAGAUGGAGUAGUUGAGUCAAGAAGGCUUGAGUGCUUUGCUGUAAGUUAUGCAGGAAUGUGAAGUUAAAGAUGGACACAGCGGCAAAAUAUAUAUUUGGAUCAGGUUGCCCGGAAAGACUGUGCAUGCUCACACUCUGGAGCACUCAAGGCCAGGCUGGAUAGGGCUGUGAGCAACCUCAUCUAGUAGGAAGAGUCCCUGCUUGUGGCAGGGGUUUGAAACUAGAUGAUCUUAAAGUUCUUUCCAAACCAAACCAUUCCAUGAUAUUAGUCCAAUUCUAGUUCAAGUCCUGUUGUGAUGGACCGUGAGUUCAUGAUUUCCUGACUAAGACUGCCUGGUUCUGGUGUCUGCAUGCAUGUGUCAUAGACCUUCUGUACAAGUUUAAUUUUCCUGACAUAAUUCUGAAUAACAAAUAGCAAAAAGUAUUGCUGUUUUUAGAGCUGGAGCAAGGGAGGCCUUCAAAACUUUAGUACGUUAAAACCAGAAGUUUCCAUAUGCAUCAGAAAAAUAUUCUUCCAGAAGCCCUUAGCUGUGUUGGGUUCAUCUGAGGAGAAUGAUGCAUGGGUGUUCACCUGGGCUGCCUUACAGCAACUGGGGUACUUAUCCUAUUCUCCCUUGACGAAGUUGGCAUUAAAGAUAAACAUCUUUAAUGCAGAUUCCUCUAGAUGAUGACAAAACAAGGUGUUCUACGAUAUU